Molecule: ribosomal RNA, 454 nt
Filed under: uncultured Prevotellaceae bacterium
Lineage: Bacteria; Pseudomonadati; Bacteroidota; Bacteroidia; Bacteroidales; Prevotellaceae
Description: partial 16S ribosomal RNA
Rfam family: Bacterial small subunit ribosomal RNA
Source: RNAcentral
ACGGGAGGCAGCAGUGAGGAAUAUUGGUCAAUGGGCGGAAGCCUGAACCAGCCAAGUAGCGUGCAGGAUGACGGCCCUAUGGGUUGUAAACUGCUUUUGUGCGGGGAUAAAACGGGGAACGUGUUCCCCCUUGUAGGUACCGCAAGAAAAAGGACCGGCUAAUUCCGUGCCAGCAGCCGCGGUAAUACGGAAGGUCCGGGCGUUAUCCGGAUUUAUUGGGUUUAAAGGGAGCGCAGGCGGUCUGUUAAGCGUGUGGUGAAAUGUAGGCGCUCAACGUCUAACGUGCCACGCGAACUGGCGGACUUGAGUGCGGUGAACGCUGGCGGAAUUCGUGGUGUAGCGGUGAAAUGCAUAGAUAUGACGAAGAACACCGAUUGCGUAGGCAGCAGACCAGGCCGUAAAUGACGCUCAUGCACGAAAGUACGGGGAUCGAACAGGAUUAGAUACCCUGGUA